AAAAUCUUACCUGUUUUUUCUCUAGAGACUUUGAUUUUGUCCAAGAUCGAGUUGAUUUUUGUGGUAGGAUUCUGCCAAGGUCUAAUUAAUGUCACAUUCUCUCCCGACACACUUCACUAUCGUAUAAUGUAUGCCCAACGUGUCUCGUUUUUUUCAUGUCCAUAACUGUUUAAUUGUAUCUAAAUACUUCUGAUAUAUGUGUAAUGUGUUAUGUGUGUGUGUUUUCGUAGCUAUACAGAUCAAGACACGCUACUACUUAUUUAUAUGUAAUCGUAAGUAUUACUUAUUUGUUGACCGG
Molecule: long non-coding RNA, 298 nt
Filed under: Brassica rapa (field mustard)
Lineage: Eukaryota; Viridiplantae; Streptophyta; Magnoliopsida; Brassicales; Brassicaceae
Description: long non-coding RNA (BRAP_LNC000906)
Source: RNAcentral